Apis florea (little honeybee) is the source of this 1460-nucleotide unclassified non-coding RNA. Lineage: Eukaryota; Metazoa; Arthropoda; Insecta; Hymenoptera; Apidae. The record is from RefSeq and is a predicted model, not a curated record.
AGAAGACAUUUCAUUUUGAUUAAAAACUCGUAAUGAAACAACUAUUCAGUUUAAUAUAAGAAUUUCGAAUUUAUCUAUCACUAUUUACUUUUUUAAAAAUGAUCUUAAAAAUUAUCUUUUCUGAGUAUAAUUUGUUAUAAUACACACACAAUGGAAAGCGCGGCAGCUUCAAUAUUAAAACGAGCAGUAGAAAUGGAUAGCAAUAAACAGUAUACAAUGGCUUUAGUAUUAUAUCAAGAAGGUAUACAAAUAUUACUUGAUUCCAAAAAAGAAACAACGGAUCCAGCUAAGCAAAAGUAUUUUACUAUCAAGGCAUCAGAAUAUUUGGAUAGAGCAGAAAAAAUAAAAAUUUUAAUUGAAAAGGAAAAGGCAACUGGUACAUACAGAGAAUUAAUUAAGAUUGAAACUGAUAGCAUAGGACAUGGCUAUGGUACUGUUUUUGGAAGAUUUUUAGAUGCAACAGUUACAUAUAUUAAUAUUGAAGAUCCUUAUAUAAGAGCAUUUCAUCAGUGUCAAAAUUUUGUAAGAUUAUGUGAAUUAGCUGUGAGAAAAUGUCAUGCAUUAUCUAAAAUAUCUUUAGUUACAACUCUUGAUCCAGAUGAUAAGAAAAAUCAAAUAGCAAGAUUAAAUGAAUUGAAACAGAGUUUAUCAUCUCAUCUUAUUUCUUUUGAAUUUAAAUUUUCUGAUACUUUACAUGAUAGACAAAUUAUUCAAAAGAUCUUCAGCUCUGUAUGAUGGAAGACAAUCUGCACCUCCGACAGCAACUACUUGUCUUGCAAUUUCUGGAUCUACACAGAGUCUUAUAAGUGCUGCGGCGGCAGUAAUUUCUAAUCGUCUAUAUGCAUCCUCUAAGCCAGGAGGUCGCAUUCUAAGAAAAGAACUAAUGCAAUAGAGGCACGGACUUUUGCUAAAUAUAUUCGAGCUUCAGGUAUACGCGCUAGCUCACUAAUAAGAGCUGCUACUUGUUCCAUUAACCAAACAUUUCUUCCAGCUGACUUUUUCACAGUUUUUAAUAAUUUUUUAACUGUUUCUUGUUCUAAUAUUACAAGAGCAUAUUUUUUGGAUUUGGACAAGUGAUUGAAUGCAGCUGCAACUAGCAACAAGGUCUGCCCACAAUUAGUAUUUUCGACUAGACAAUUUAAGGAUGGUAUUAAAUCUUUUGCAAAAGAUUCUAAAUAAGAUCUGUCAAUAUUUCUGGACCACCAUCUUUAACAAAUUGGUUUAUUGCCAUAGCGGAACUACAUACACUUGCCAAUGCUCGUAAAGAAGCUGCGACGAAAUCUAUUGAUGUUCUUCCAGUAGUGAUUACAGAUGUCAAAAGUGCUCUAAUACCUAAACAUCUUGUAAUACUGCUUCCUGCUCGAGGUCCUGCUAAACCUAAAGCAGUUAAAGCUGCUAGAGCACCUCUAGUUAAUGUAGUAUCAUCUUUCGGUGCUUCUUCCAAUCCUCUGACUAUUCUC